AACCGCGGUUAGACGAGUAGGCCCAAGCUGAUAGAAUACGGCGUAAAGCGUGGCCCGGGUCCUAACAAAACUAAAGUCGAAAGCUCCCCGGACUGUUAUACGUUAUUGGGGGCGUGAAGCCCAACUACGAAAGUGAUUUUAAUAUACCACUGGCCACGAAAGCUGAGAUA
Molecule: ribosomal RNA, 170 nt
Filed under: Samariscus xenicus
Lineage: Eukaryota; Metazoa; Chordata; Actinopteri; Pleuronectiformes; Samaridae
Also listed under: 1 other name
Description: partial 12S rRNA
Source: RNAcentral